Schistocerca piceifrons (Central American locust) is the source of this 996-nucleotide long non-coding RNA. RefSeq lists it as uncharacterized. NCBI's taxonomy places the organism in Eukaryota, Metazoa, Arthropoda, Insecta, Orthoptera, Acrididae. The record is from RefSeq and is a predicted model, not a curated record. The transcript has 4 exons.
CAAAGUUCACCGAAAUCACGAUACUUGUGCUUCUCUUUAAGCACAAAUAUUGCGCUGUGCAGUUUGCACACAAUCAAGAUUGCCAACGUUUGCGAAUGUACACCACUGUGUCAAGUGUCAAAUCAACUUAUGGUGUAAAGUGUUUGGUGCUAGUAAACUUAUCAUUGAACUUUUGACGAGCAGCGAGUCUUCCAGCACCUAGUAAAUAUUACCUGACGCAGUGUUACAACAGAUGAAAAGCGAUGGUAGAUCUACAUCAUGCCACCCCCCAGAAGGUAAACUAGGAAGUGCUUCAAAGGCAGUACAGAAAGUUUCACUUACAUCAGGAGAUGAGUCUGGUCGGCAAUGGAAGGAUCCAAUUAACAUUUUAUGCCCACCCCUGAUACUGAGUCAAUGAUACACCUGACCCACCAUAAGAUCAACAGAUAUCAGUAGCAUGAAGAAAUGUUACAGUCUCAAAAUUGAUGAUGAUGUUUUCAGGGCCUCAAAUGCAUUACUGUAUGAUAAAAUCCAAAACUUAAUAUACUAUGCAUCAUUCAGAAUCCCACAAAUUAGGUUUCACUGUCAGUAUAACUACAACAUAUUUUGAUGUCCGACCUAAUUUUACUGUAUAGUGAGUGAAUUGGCAUAUGUGAGGAGUGUGCUACCAUCUAGUGGGAUUUAUGGCAAGUGAACACGGAUAAAAGUCUGCUGCAGUGUGCUACCACCUGGUAGUAUUGAAUGUUUUUCAGAUGGGCUGAGAAGAGGACAUCAAAAUGUGUGUGCAGCAUAGUUGCAUGCUUACAAGGCCUUGAGUCAAGUUUUCCGGACAGACUGGAAUUGGUGUAAGGGGUUUGUGGUCCAGCAGUCACCAGUGGAUAUCGUUAGUGUGUGCAACGAUGUAGAGAAAAACUAUGUUUUAUAGGAUAAGUAAUAUGCACCAAAUUGUGUGAAAAUCAAAGAACAUUGUGUAUAGAUCAACCGAGUGAGGCAGUGUAGCUGUUAAAGAUACUGACC